CAAUUUUCAAAAAUUCUCUAUAGACAGAAGGUAGAUUAAAUUUCCUGGAAGAAGCGAGCCCUCCUCCUCCUUCUCCUGUUCUUCUUUCCAUUGCCUGUGAGAAACUCUAUGGGGCUAGGGAUUCCUUGCUUGACAUUCCUUUCUUACAUGGUAUCUAUUUUUUUAUUACCUGCAAUCAUAAUGCCUUGGCCCCACUCAUCAGUGACAACCCCUCCCCCAAGGUAGUGACCUACGCUGUUGGCAAUCUCACUUGGGUAGCACCUGGAUGAGCGUCUACUCCCAGAUGGUUUCCCUAGGCAGCCAGCAACACAGGGCUUCCACCAAGCUCUGUACUUUGAAGGGGACCUGGAAAAAGCCAACAUUGUUCUUACCUUGGAAAUCCAAUACCUUGUUGUCAUUUUGAAUUAAGACUAAAAUCCCCAGGCCAAUUCUUAUGGGAUGAUGUGCACUAAUUGAUUUAUGCAGACUGCUGUAAGAACACUUUAAUGAAGUAGGUAGAAACAAGAUAUGGGAGAGUAGAUAGCACAGGGACACCCAGUGCACGAGGCUGCUGCAGAGGGAACUGGUCAAAACCAGCCUUAAAUAAAUGUCUUCUUUUAGCAUGGUGACACUCUGGCUUGUAGUGACAGGCAUGGCUGGUUCUUUUGUAGUAUCUGUCUCCAUUCCAACCCUUCUAACAGCCUUGUCCCGUCAGCAUGGGCUCGCACACAGAGAAUGCACGGGGCGUGGAGCACGGGUUGUGGGCUUUGGCACCAGGCAGCUAUAGGCCCUUGACUCACAGGCACCACUUCAGUGAGCUAUUGAAGCCUGGAGCUUUAUUUUGUUCAAUUGUUAAGAUGGGGUUAGGAGCCCAGCAACAAGCAUUCAACAGUUGUUUGCUAAAUUGAAUGCACUUACUAACCUCAAUAAGAACCUGGUUCUUAGUAGGUGCUUUAAUCAUUGAGGCUAUCAUCCUGAGGCUGUCAAAUGUGCUCAUAACUGUAUACAGUUAGUGGAACUCGGUCUUUGAAUAUCCGUAGUUUUCAAUGACCGAUGAAACUUUGAAAAUAUUACGGAGUGCAUGCAGUGCCCCCCGGUGGCCAGAAGAGGGAGUCAGGUCUUCUGGAACUGGAUGUUUGUGAGCCACCUUGUGGGUGCUGGGAACAGGACCCCAUCCUCAGCAAGAGCAGGGGUGCCCUUAAACACUAAGCCAUCUUUUUAGUCUCCCAUAGAUAUUUUUAGAAAUAAAAAACUCACCUGCUUCAUGGUGCAUACUCUUCCUCUCGGUGUGAUGAGAUCUGCAGCCGUCCUGCUGUGACCCACCUCGGAUGACAAUCACCUCUUUGUUCAUCAUCCACAGACUUUCAAGUCCCUCUGUCACAACAUGUUCAGGACCAGCUGGGACAGUUAAGACUUAAACGUUUCAUCCAAUGGCACCCGCUAGCCCCAGGAUGAUAUCUGCCGUGCCACACUGAACUUUGCCUGCGGUCUAGAGGGAGGACAGGCUUGGGCCAGCACAGCGCAGAGCUUCAGAUUUUGCCAGACUGUGACUCUAACCUUCCCACUGAAGGGCAAAUGAAACCACACUAAAAGACAACUUGGCUUCCAUCAAAGGCAAGUUCCCCAGACCCAGUGAUUUAGUCAUGAAUGUGAACCAGGCAUAAUGACAAUCAAAUGCUUUAGACCGGGAGACGGCAUGACGUCAGACGUGGGUUGGAAAAGGCUGCCCGUUCUUCUGUGCGAAUCACUCACCUGUGGCGUCUUGAAUCACUGAGAAAAGUUUGAUGACCCUAGACUGUCAUCUCAUAAGGAAGCCCAACCUACAACCACAUGUAGGUCACUGGCUGACAGCCCC
Molecule: long non-coding RNA, 1834 nt
Filed under: Mus musculus (house mouse)
Lineage: Eukaryota; Metazoa; Chordata; Mammalia; Rodentia; Muridae
Description: Riken cDNA CJ186046 gene
Source: RNAcentral